UACGGAGGGUGCAAGCGUUGCUCGGAAUUAUUGGGCGUAAAGGGCAGGUAGGUGGUCUCAUUUGUCUGGGGUGAAAGCCUUGAGCUUAACUCAAGAAGUGCCCCGGAAACGGUGAGACUAGAGUGCUGGAGAGGUAAGUGGAAUUCCCGGUGUAGCGGUGAAAUGCGUAGAGAUCGGGAGGAACACCUGCGGCGAAGGCGGGUUGCUGGGCUGACACUGACGCUGAAGUGCGAAAGCUAGGGGAGCGAACGGG
This 253-nucleotide ribosomal RNA is filed under the name uncultured bacterium. Its description in RNAcentral is "partial 16S ribosomal RNA". It matches the Rfam family "Bacterial small subunit ribosomal RNA", at positions 524 to 776 of the family's 1533-position model. The record is from RNAcentral.